UCAGUUGCUGGGAAAACUGGCUUUUAUCUUUCUGUGGCUCCCCUUGGCCUUGAGAUGCUUAACAUUGUUGUCCUGUCUCAUGAUUUGUGUGAAAGAACAUGGAGGAUGAGCCAGAACACACACCGAAAGAGGAAUAGAUUAACAGGAGGGCAGGAUAAGGUGCAAAACCACCCACGAGCUCUGCAAUAUCCUCAAGGAAACCCAAUAAAACAACACCAAAAGAAUGAAUUACACCACCGUUGUCAAACUCAAGGCCAGACAUUGGAACCAGAAUCUGCAAGUGCCUGGGCCACAUUAAGUGAUGCACACAAAAAUAGAUUCAGUAUUAAAAAACUUAUUAAAAACAAAAAAAAAACAACUAAUCCAUUCUCAAUCUUUAUUAACAUGAGUUCAGAAAAUUGAAGGUUCUUCAAAAGGUGAACAAGACUGGUGACGCGGUCUUCUGUCAUCUCCCUGGUAUCUUGCAUACUCGUCAGUGUCACGUUUCGAGGUGGUGGCGGACCCCAAAAAGCAGGUGGUGAAAAAGACAUGACAGCAUACCCUUCCCCUUCACUUGAUAUCACUUCUGAAUCACGCUUCGACAAAAGCUGUUAUGGGCUCAAAUUACGGGAGCCCGUAUAUGAUUAAAAAUGAACUCAAAAGGAACAAAACGACCAGAACAACGACACGACAAAAAAGAUGGGCCGUCCAAACAUUAAAGUUUUAUGUCAAGUAGGGGCCGCAAAACAUCAACCAUAUAGGUCACCGAUGGCCCCCAGGCCGCAUGUUGGAUACCUCCAGCCGAUGUGGAUUUCCACUCGUAUGUCGUUGAUAUGAAUUAAUAUAAGCCUAGCUCUAUUUAGCUAGCCACCAACCAGCAAUAGCUACCAAGGUCAUAGGCCUAUUCCGAGGAUUCUCUUUUUUGUGGGUUUAUUUAUGAUAGUCAUGCUUACUGAAAUCCAUGUUUCCUAAUGAUGAUGACGAGAUGUCAAUUUCCACCAGGAUGAGCAUGCUAAGUGACUUUUGGAGAGGUUGGAAGACCUCAUAAUGGCCAUUUCAUUCGUCUUUCUUCUCCAAGGGGGGCCUUCUCUCUAAGUAACAAGCUAUAUAGUGGAUGAAAAUUCCAUAUAUGACAAUCACACAUGAAGAAACUGUCAAGAGAUAUGAGAGUGCAGCUAGAUGAGACGUACCCAAAACUAUUCAUCAUAUAGCAUCUAUUAAGGAGUCACCACAUUAAAUAUGGUACAAGACGACAUUCAUUAUAACAGAGAGGCUCGCAUGUGUUUUGGACACAUUCAGAAAACUAAACUAUACUAGAACAAUUUUGCAUACAGUAUUAGGCUAAGCAUGAGCGUGGAGACUUCCUGGAGAGACAUGAAAGGCAGAAAUAUGCUGUGAUAAAUAUUUGGACAAUAUUAUUACUCUCUGCAGGUGACAUUCAAGGACGGUAUGUGGAGGGAUCAAAUAAAACACCUGGCGAUGAGAGACGUCGCCUGUACGUGAUGCUCAUAUCUGGAGAGCCGACAAAAAUAAAUGAUGUGGUUUAAAAAAAAAA
Molecule: long non-coding RNA, 1534 nt
Organism: Hippocampus zosterae (dwarf seahorse)
Lineage: Eukaryota; Metazoa; Chordata; Actinopteri; Syngnathiformes; Syngnathidae
Exons: 2
Source: RefSeq, a predicted model, not a curated record